Molecule: ribosomal RNA, 484 nt
Filed under: uncultured bacterium
Lineage: Bacteria
Description: partial 16S ribosomal RNA
Rfam family: Bacterial small subunit ribosomal RNA
Source: RNAcentral
AUUGAACGCUGGCGGCAGGCCUAACACAUGCAAGUCGAGCGGAUGAAGGCAGCUUGCUCCUGGAUUCCGCGGCGGACGGGUGAGUAAUACCUAGGAAUCUGCCUGGUAUUGGUGUGUAACAUCCGGAAACGGGCGCUAAUACCGCCUACUUCCUGCGGGAGCAACUUGGGGAUCUUCGGACCUCACCCUAUCAGAUGGGCCUAGGUCGGAUUAGCUAGUUGGUGGGGUAAAGGCCUACCAAGGCGACGAUCCGUAACUGGUCUGAGAGGAUGAUAAGGCACACUGGAACUGAGACAGGGUCAAGAGGACUAAGGGAGGCAGCAGUGGGGAAUAUUGGGCAAUGGGCGAAAGUAUGAUACAGCGAGGGCGCGUGUGUGAAGAAGGUGUUCGGAGCGGAAAGAAGGUUAAGUUGGGAGGAAGGGCAGUAAGUUAAUACCUUGCGGGAUUGACGUUACCAAGAGAAGAAGCACCGGCUAACUACGUG